RNAcentral lists this ribosomal RNA (492 nucleotides) under uncultured bacterium. RNAcentral's name for it is "partial 16S ribosomal RNA". It matches the Rfam family "Bacterial small subunit ribosomal RNA", at positions 29 to 507 of the family's 1533-position model. The record is from RNAcentral.
AGUGAACGCUGGCGGUAGGCCUAACACAUGCAAGUCGAACGGAAGCACAGUAAGAGCUUGCUCUUACGGGUGGCGAGUGGCGGACGGGUGAGGAAUACAUCGGAAUCUACUUUUUCGUGGGGGAUAACGUAGGGAAACUUAUGCUAAUACCGCAUACGACCUACGGGUGAAAGCAGGGGAUAUUCGGACCUUGCGCGAUUGAAUGAGACGAUGUCGGAUUAGCUAGUUGGGGGGGUAAAGGCCCACCAAGGCGACGAUCCGUAGCUGGUCUGAGAGGAUGAUCAGCCACACUGGAACUGAGACACGGUCCAGACUCCUACGGGAGGCAGCAGUGGGGAAUAUUGGACAAUGGGCGCAAGCCUGAUCCAGCCAUACCGCGUGGGUGAAGAAGGCCUUCGGGUUGUAAAGCCCUUUUAUUGGGAAAGAAAAGCAGCAGGUUAAUACCCCGCUGUUCUGACGGUACCCAAAGAAUAAGCACCGGCUAACUUCGUG